Molecule: long non-coding RNA, 15680 nt
Organism: Homo sapiens (human)
Lineage: Eukaryota; Metazoa; Chordata; Mammalia; Primates; Hominidae
Exons: 2
Source: RefSeq, a predicted model, not a curated record
AUGGCCAUGUAGAAGGCAUAUUAGGAGUGUAUGCUACUUUAAGGAGAAGGGAAAGGUUUGUCUAGAAUGAUAAAGGAAUGAGGAUGUUCUGUAGAUGUGAGGAUGUAGCUUGUAGCAAGGGAGUACAGAUUUAAUAGAAUGAUAUCUCUGAACCUGUGCUAUCCUAAAAGAAAAGAUGCAAAGUGGGCAUUUUUUCUUCCUGUAGAAUGUGUAUUAUUGCUUCUCUGCAAGCUUUUAUAAAAAGCUUCUUCAUCAUUUAAUAAAAAUUAAUUCAUUCAAGAGAAAUGAAAGUAAUCGUUUUGCCAUAAAAAAAAAUUUGCCCAAGAAUGUUCACAGCACCUUUUUUCAUAUUAGCUUCAAACUGGUAACAACCCAAAUAUCCAUCAACAGGAGACUGAAUAAAAAAAUUGUGGUACAUUCAUACAAUGGAGUAUUACUCAAAGUAAAAAAAGAACACACUACUGACACAUGUAAAAUCCUGGAUGAAUCUCAAAAACUUUAUGUUGAGCAAAAUAAGGCAGAUACAAGAGCACAUACUGUCUGAUUCCAUUUAUAUGGUAUUCUAUAAUAGGAAAAAUUAGGCUGUGGUGAUAGAAAUCAGAACAGUGUUUGCCUAUGCAGGUGGGAGGAGUAUUAUAGCUGGAAAGGGAAAUGAUAGAACCUUCUGGAAUGAUGGUAAUGUUUUAUGUCAUGAUUGGCAUUAUAUACACAUGGGUGUAUACAGUUAUCAAAAUCCAUUGAACUAUACACUUAUGUGCAUUUUAUUGUAUAUAAUAUAAACUAUAUUUUUAAAACCUUAUGAUUCUCUUUUCCCUUUUCUCUUUCUUUCUCAUUGUCUCACUCUCUGCCUCUCUCUCUCACUCUGUCUCUCCAAUUCCUGAAGGAGACUUUUAGAGCUAGUAUUAAUGUCACAUUGUGAACUAUUCUAAGGCUUUCUAGUUUCUCUCUUUUAUUAGACUCAAAAAUGUGUAGUAUCAACUAUACAACUACUAGGAGAAAACAUAGGAGAAACACUACAAGACAUCAGUCUAGGGGAUGAUUUCUUGCAUAUGACCUCAAAAGCACAGACAAAAGCAAAAAUAGACAAAUGAGAUUAUAUCAAACUAAAAAGCUUCUGCAUAGCAAAAGAAACAAUGAAUAGAGUGAAAAGACAACCCACAGAUUGGGAGAAAAUAUUUACAAAUCAUACGUCAGAUCAGGGGCUCAAAUCCAAAAUAUGCAAGAAACUGAAACCACUUACUAGCAAGAAAACAACUCUUAAAAAUGGGCAAAGGGGCUGGGUGUGAGCCGCCGUGCCUGGCCUGUAUCUGAAUUAUUGUUUCCAAACCCAGCUGCCUUCAGCCUAAACAGUGGCAAGCACUUGUCAUCAUAUCCUGAAGUCAUAGACAUAAUUAUCACACCUCUUAGCUGCAAAUCUAGGCUUCACCAUCAGUUAACUGUUUGAGGCCCUUUUACUUAGUAACCCAAAUACUUGGUAAUUGAGUAUAUGUAGGGAUAUAUUUUUCUUUAAGAUUACUACGUGUGACAUACAUUACCCUGGAAUAGAAUGCUCUCAUUCACAGCCAUUUCUGUUUAACGUGGGAGACAUUUCUGGGUUUUUGCUUCUCUCUGUCUUUCCUAUUCUGUGACUGUCACUGCUCUAUUGGAAUCACUUUUCUCCUGGUGGUGUCCAGUGAUCUUUGGAUGGUCCACUGAAGGUAGAUACCUCCCAGCCCUUUCUGUGCUGGGACUAAGAUGGCACAUACAGUAUUCUGUAGCUCCCUCUGGCCAAAGCAGAAGCUAUCAUCACUACCCACUGUGUAAGAUUCCUCCUGUACAGCAGCACCCUUCACUGGGUAGUGCUUAGUUUUUAAUCUAUAUUUUUUAUUCUUUCUUUUGGAUUUCCAAAUAUAAAAAUACCACCACUACUGCCUCCCGCCAGCACUCCGCCUUGUGAGGAAAGCACUGUGUAACUUUGUUGACAAAUGUCUGCUUAAUUAUGUUUAAUGAUUCAGAAAUAAAACAGGGAGAAGUCCCACAUUUUAAUUUCAAACUAAAGACUGCUAGAAGCCAACAGAAUUUUUGUUUGCUUGUUUUUGUUUUGUUUUGCUGAGACAGGGUCUCACUCUGUCACCCAGGCUGGAGUGCAGUGGCAUGAUCAUGGCUCAUUGUAGCCCUGAUCUCCCUGGGGUCAGUGAUCCUCACACCUCAGCCUCCCAAGUAGCUGGGAAUACAGCCAUGCACUAUACAUUUUUGUACUUUUUAUAGAGACAGGGUUUUGCCAUGUUGCCCAGCUGGUCUUGAACUCCUAGGCUCAAGCAAUCCACCUGCCUCAACCUGCCCCGAUACAGAUUUUUAAAAUGUAGGUGAUUAAUAACUCACUUGUAGCUCUGGAGCUGUUCAACAGAAGUUGCAACUCAAGAACGCUAUUUAGUAAUUAAUAAGAAAAGUUUGGGGAAACAAAGUUCUACAUUGUGCUCUGCUGAUCUUUUUCUUUGAAAUCUUACUGCAGAUGCUGUUUCUCUGCGGAGGCAAGGAGGAGGACCUUGACUAGUCUCUGAUGGGGCAAGGAGUUUGUUCGAUUGUGCCAGUCUGAAAUAUGGCAGGUUAGAGGGGUGGAGAAAGCCAAGUAUUGCAGGGGUAAGAAACGCUAGGCAGACAAACCUUGUCACGAGUUUAGUGAGCCCAGAAGUCAACAAAUGAGUAGGGGCAAGAAACUGGCAGGGCGACCAUAGAUUUCAUAUGGUUAUUGGAUUAAUUUAUUUUUGCUUUAAAAUUUUAUCGAGUGAGCCAUAAUUUAUUGGGCUGAGUUGAGUUUUGUCCAGGGGAUUGAAGUUUGGAUUUAUCCCAGGAAACAGCUUUCAUCUAAAGUCAUGCUCCAGCAAAUUAUGCUGAUUUUAAACGGAGCAGCCUAUUAAAAAUAGGUCAGAUUUCAACAGGACAGUGGAACGUUUGGUUUGAGGAAACUUUGAGUACAUCAGUAACUAUUAUGAGAUGUUCUGCUGUGAUCACGUGGCCUGCCUGUCAUCAGGAAAGGGAGAAAAUGGAGGGGAGGACUCUUACAUUCCAGUCAAUUCACGUAGCCUCUUGAUGCCAAAAAUUAGAAAGGGGAAGCAUAUCAGAUGUGUACAGCUCAAAUUCCAUUUGUACUUAAGGUUACGUAACAGCUCAUAGUGUAAUAGCUUUGGCCCGUGUCCAGUGAGCCUGUAGAUAUUGGCGGCUUUGCGUGCUUAAAAGGCCCCCAUCAAUCAGUCAUGAUGCCUGGUCCUACACCCAGUUGCCAUGUUUGUUUAAGCCGGCUUUGGAGGUUGUAUAAAUAGUGUUAGCAACCUGCUCUCCCACCCUUGGUGAUAAAUGGCACCUUUAAAAAUCCUUUGGCACAUUCUUAGGAUGCGAAGGAGUAGAACUGGAUCCAUUGACAUCUUUGGUGGUUAUCAGCCUCCUUCUGCAUAUGUUCUUGUGGCAUCUCCAGGAGGGAAGUGUGGAGGGUGCCUGGGGCAUCCGUACCGCCCUGGCUUCUUGGGCCUCUGCAGCCUCUGCCUGUCUGAAUCAGCUAGUGGAGUAUCCUGCCUCGUGGAAACUGGCAAGGGCUGCACAGGGGCUCCCAAAUGAAACUGUGACUCAGGACUGGACAAGCGAAUUCGAGUUCACACAGAAUGGAAAGGUGUACUUUUUCCCCUUUAAAAAAAAAAAACACAAAGAUUGCUACAACAUGUUGGCAUUGAUUCAUGCAGUCACUUUUUGUUCUGUACAAACAGUGGCCUUGGGGUAGCAGGAAGAGCAAUGGGCAAAGGACACAACCUCAGUGCAAAAGCCCUAGCUCCCUUGGACCACAGUUGCAUAUCUAGAAAAUUAAGAAAUAACUUCCUCUUGUUGUGAGGUUCCGGCGAGAUGCCAUGUGUAAAGCACGUGUAUCAGUGUUGGACAUUCCACUAUUGGUGACUGGGUGCCUGCUGUAUGCUUAUCCUCCAGGUAGAGCUUCCAGGAGCAAGUGGGACUGGGCGUGUGCAGAUGUAGGGGAAGGGUGUUCCAGGCAGAGGGAACCACAGAAGCAAAGGUGCUUGGGCAGAAAAUACAGGUGUUAGGAAACAUCGGCGAGUGUCCUUCCUCUGGAGCAAAGAACUUAUAAAGGGGAACAGUGUAGGACGAGGUUGGCCUGGAAGUUUGGGGCCAGAUUAUAGAGGGCCUCAAACAGGAGGCUAAAGAAACUGGACUGCCUUUUAUGGGCAGUGAGGAGUUAUUGGGGUUUGUAAGCAGGAGAGUAGUAUGAUCAGAGCUGAGCUUCAGGAAAAUUAAUCUGGCAGCAAAAUCCUGCAAAACCUCUUUGGAACAAAAGGGGUGAAAAUAAAUAAUUUGAAAAUUUGGCAGUCAUGUUUUCAAAUAUGUUCUGAAAUGUGUAAGCUAUAAUAUGUAUUUUGAAAUGAUAACAUCUUUCUUUUUCUGUUCCUGCACAGCAGCCAAAUUCCUUGUUCAUUCUUUAUUUCUUUUCCUCAUUCCCUCCCUCCCUCCCUCUCUCUCUCAUUUUUCCUGUGUUUCUGUUUCUUUCAUUGUUUCUCCUGGUUUCAGUGUGUCUUCCUUUCUCACUCACCCAGUCCCUCCCUCACUCUUUGCCCUGUUCUGUCUUUCAUGGUUAGUGGUGUUUUGGAGGUGUGUCUAAACCGAGCCAGGGACUGCGAGUUCCAGGACAGUCCUUCAAAAAGGUCCAUCUGCUGGUUUUUGUGCCCAGCAUACCCGCUGUGAAUGGACUACAUUACUGAAGGCUGUGAAAUCACCCAAAUUUGAUCUUCAACUCUCAUCAUACAAAGUAUCGGUAUUUUGAAUUUGUAGGUGAAUCAUUUGUAAUUCAUGGGGGCAAUGUUUCUACAAUUGAACUUUCUGGACUCAUCACCAAAAGGUUCAGUCAGCUUCUGUAACUUGUGGGUUAGCAAGUGGAUUCUAUAGAUACGCCCCAUGUCCCUGCCCAGGCAAACUUAAUAAAUGUGUUCAGACCUUAGGUGUUCAUGGAUUUAACUCACAGGUUUGUGAUUCUUUGUGGGUUCCCCUGUGGGUCUGUGGCACAGAGUUGGGCUGAGGUAUGAAUCCGAGAAGUCUACUUUGCAAGACACAUGUUAUGGAAAAGGGUCAUUUAUCCUUAUUGUUCUGCGCAUUCAUGCAUUUGUAACAAUGCUUGUUAAUUAAAACAUUGUGUUGUGUCUGUGAAAAACAGCCAUCAGGUGAGAGCAACAUUUAGUGAAAUCUGAAAGUAGGGUUAACUUGUAGUGUGAGGCUAUGCACAGGAAAACGCAUAUGGCUCUCCAUAGAAAUGUGAUUCAAGCGAAAGCUGGGAGCCUCUAUAAACAUUCUUGUAUUUGUGGAUCUGGGAAUUCAAGAAGGUUUCAGAUGUAUGCCUCAGGAAUGUCAAGAGUCUGCUGUAUAUCCAAAUUUACAAAACAGAUAAAUUAUUGAAUGACUAUUCAGGUUGCAAAACGAUUCUUCAUUUUAUUAAAUAUUUACUGCACAUUUACCCUAGAGAAGUUCUUUAGUAAAUAUAGUACUUGAUUUACAGAAAUUCAGUGCGUAUGACUGUUUCUGGAUAUAUGUAUUGUGUUAAGUGGGAUCCUUUCUCCAUAGCAUGAAGAAAUUUUAAGAUAAUCUUUUCUCCAUUUGAUAAAUGAGUUUGUAUAUAUGAAAGGCACUUGUUCAGUAAUUAUAGAGUUGGUUUUUUACCAUGAGGAAUUUUGUAUCUUAGAUGACUAAUUUUCAAAACUGAUAAAAAAUGUUCCUAUUUGUCGUGUUCAGCCAUCAGCAGUUUCACUGUCCUUUGGCUUUGGCUCAUGUAGUAUAACCAUUAAAACCCUGACUCUGAUGUUCACCUGCUCCGGGACUAAAGGCCUCAGAUUCCCCAUUAGGGAAAGGAGGAUAAUAGUAGUAUCCCCCUCAAAGGUUUGGGAGAAGAUUAAAUGAAAUAGUUCCUACACCUGACACCUGGUAUGGGCUCAAUAAAUGUUAGCUAUUAUUACUAUUUACUGUUAUUUUUCUAGUCCCAAAGAUGAGGUCAGCUAACUUAUGCUGAGUAAUAUUUUAUUUCCAAAGGAGUGUUUUUUAUUCAACUUUUCACAUUUUGAUUUUGUUCUCUCUGUGGACUAUUGCGCAUUUUCCCAAAUGAGGAAUGUUUGGCAUCUCACUUAAACCGUGGCGUCCAGCAGUCACAGGAAAUGCUGCCUUAUUUGGUGCUUGGAUUAAAAGUGUUCUCAGAGUUCACUGAUUUAUAUCCCUGUCCAGCUGUACCAUAACCUGGUAUAGUUGUAAGAAAUAAAAUUUAAAAAAGGAAGAAAUAGGAAAAAAGAAGACAAGGAGAUGUGUUACUUGUUUGUAAAUGUGAGGUUGAUCCUGUAGCUGUCAACAGUCCUGUUUCUAGGGGUAGCCAUUGCUUGUCCAGUGCUGCCUUGGUUCCGACAUAUCCUAGCUAAGCUCUGCUCCUUGACUUUGACGGUCCACAUAGGCCAACACCCACAGUUAACCCACACUUACUUUCCCACCAUUCCACUUUACACUCUACCAAGCACUUCACUCUGAACUUGCUCAUGUAGUGACUUCUGCUAGGAUUCCUGCCAGUGCUGUUCAUUUACCCAGAUUCUAUCUAAUCUUCAGGGUCCAACUCAAAGCUUACCAGAUCCAUGAAGGCAUCCCCAACUACCUGACUCCUCACUGAUUUCUUCCUUAUUCAACUUGCGUAUCCUUUUCAGCCUGGGCCCUAUAACAGAGUACCCUAUUUUAAUUAAUUGUAGUCACAAUAAUACUUACAAACAUGCACAUAAAGUUCUCUAGCCCCCAGAGGAUUUUCAUGUAUAUUAUUUCUUUGACCUGUGAGGUGGGCAGGUUAGAUUUUUUUUUUUUUUUUUUUUUGAGACGGAGUUUUGCACUGUCACCCAGGCUGGAGUGCAGUGGCACAAUCUCGGCUCACUGCAGCCUCCACCUCCCGGGUUCAAACGAUUCUUCUGCCUCAGCCUCCCGAGUAGCUGGGACUACAGGCGCGUGCCACCACACCCGGUUAAUGUUUUGUAUUUUUAGUAGAGACGGGGUUUCACUGUGUUAGCCGGGAUGGUCUCCAUCUCCUGAUGUCACGAUCCGCCAGCCUCGGCCUCCCAAAGUGCUGGGAUUACAGGCGUGAGCCAUCGCGCCCGGCCAGGUCAGAUCUUUGUAACUCUGUUGUAUACAGUUGCUUGGUCAAGCUCAUAUGGCCAAUGAGACUAAGAACUUGAACACACCAAGUCUACCAGCCCUGUUGCUCACAUAUGGUUUUACGUCACUUAUUUCUUGAAUGUUAAUAUUAAAUGUUAAUAUUAUCUCCUUAAGUAGUCUGUAGUAUUUUUGAUGUUGAGAGAGAUGUCUUUUACUUCAGAACCUGUUAAUGGCGUUUGACCCUGAACCCAGCUCAUUAAAGACUUGGUCCCUAAUAGUAGUAAUGUUUAUUGAAUAUUUACUAUGUGGCAGGCAGUGUGCUGGGCUGCUUUACAAGAAGCAUCUCACACAGUCCUCCGAGCACUUCUGUAAGACAAAGGACAUUAUUAAGUUUAGGUUUAGGGAGGUUUAGCAACUUGCUAAGAUCAGAUAGAUCCAACAGCUAGUAAGCGGCUUUAACUCAUCACAAAGAUUGGUCAUCAUGGGAAAUUUUUUGCCCUAUUUUUAAAAUUCAUAUUUCUACAUAGCUUAAAAGUGGAAGGUAUCGUUGACAGUGGGCUGCAUUGCUGGGUUUGGGGGCAAGGGGAAGAUCUGCUCUGUUGAGAGCUCAAUGCCCAGGGAUGGUAAAUGGAGACUCUGGUGGGGGAGGGAAAGAGCUAGCCCUUUGUCCUGUUGGGAUUCUUUACUUUAGAAAAGAGCAGCCUUAUGUAUCUCUUGCCAGAAUUUCACAUUUUAGUUGGAUUAAAUUAUGUCAGUACCAUCAUAUUCUACUUAAACAAGAGGUACAAUGCCUUUUCUCUUAAGUGUCCUUAGCUCUAGACUCGAAUGGAUGAGAACCCUGGAAAUGUGGCCCCAAGUAGUACAAAGAAAGACUAGAGAUGUCUACACAUUCUUAUGAAUGCGUGUGGGAUUUUCAUUGUGCACAGUAGUGUAUGCCUGUUUGUCUUAAUAGAAAAAUGCUUUUAUAUUCCUUGCUAUUGAGGAAAAAAGAUAUGAUUUUUGGAUAUUUUAAAAAUUGGGUUGAUAAAAAGAGUGCUAAUGCUACAUUAUAAUAAGUUCUGGGUCCAGGCAGCCUCUCUCUCUUUGUUGGUGUUAUAUAUUGAGAACAGAAAUUCAUACACAUAAGUGUUGGGGCAUUCCACACAGGGAGAUAUUCAGCAUGUUGCCAAAGAAGUGGUUCCAUGCUACAUUUUCAGGCAUAGGAAUUACAUAUAGGAAUUUCGGUAGGUAUUUCUUCAUGCUGAGAAGCCAAGUUACUUCUAUAAUAUCAUGGACCCAAAGUGUUUCUGAUUUCAGUAACGACAACUGUUGCUCUUUAUUUUGACCCAUGUAAAUAAUUAUCUUGUCUUCACAUGUAAAUAACCUAACUCAAAGACUUACAGACCUCUGGAUCUGAGCUCUUCAUGAAAAACUCUCAAACCUUUUCAUAUUAGCUCUUCUUUGCAAUGGUGGGUUUCAGCUAUGAAAGAAAAAAGUUUCCUAAAUAAGUCAAUUUCUGAAUAAUAAAAUAAUUCAUUGUAUCCAGGUCUUUACUUUUGUGUUUUGAGAACAUUUGUUUUCUCAUUAAAAAAAAACAAUUCAACAGUAAGUUUAAGAACACUAGUCAUGACCUACCCAGUCCUUCCCCCUCCCCAUAGCUAGUAUUCGAGUGGAUAAAUAAAGCAAGCUUUCCUAGGAGGCACUUUUUAUUGCAAUGUUUCUACAAACUAAUAUUCAACCACUGUCUGCAUUGACUCGUUUCUUUUUUUGAGUGUGUUGUUCUCUACUGAAGCUGUCUGUGCCUUCACCAGCCUCUGUCCAGGCUGCUAUUCUCAAUUUUAACCAUCCGCUCUACAUCUUCAGAGAUGUAAGUACCAUUCUUACUAUGAAUGGAAUGGAAUAAUAAUACUUGAUUAAAUAUUACUCCAUUAAAUAAUUUACAGCUAAGCAUUUUGCACACUAAUAAGCCUUCACAAAUAAUAUUAUAAACAGAACAAGCAAAGAUCAUUAAAUGGACUCAUCACUAAUAUAAAGCCUCCCAGCCAACUGGAAGGUCCUGUGACUAUUCCUUCACUUGUGUCUGUUGAGUAGUUUAAAAUGUGUUGUUUGGUGGUAUUAUUGAUUUUUGGCUUGGCUGUCUCUUUUUGCUCCAAACCAGGAUAGUUUGUGUCUACAUGACAGGGCUUCACCAAAUGUUCUCAUGAAUUGCGCUUCACCUCCUAAAGUGUUUCUGAAACUAACUCCAAAUAAAAUUUCAAGCAACUAAGUACUUCACUAAUUGUUUUCCAAUGAAUUGUUCCAAACCCCAACUUUUCUCUUUUAUUAAAAAACAGCCGGGUGUGGUGGCUCAUGCCUGUAAUCCCAGCACUUUGGGAGGCCAAGGUGGGUGGAUCACUAGGUCAGGAGAUUGAGACCAGUCUGGCCAAUAUGGUAAAACCCUGUCUCUACUAAAAAUACAAAAAUUAGCUGGGCGUAGUGGUGUGCACCUGUAGUCCCAGCUAUUCAGGAGACUGAGGCAGAAGAAUUGCUUGAACCUGGGAGGCAGAGGUUGCAGUGAGCCGAAAUUGUGCUACUGCACUCCAGCCUGGGUGACAGAGCGAGACUCCGUCUCAAAAAAAAAAAAAAAAAAAAAAAAAAAAAAAAUUCUAGUGAUUUUUCUUUAAAAAUGUGCGUAGUUUCUUUAUUAAUAUCAUUGCAAGAAUUUUUUUUUUCAUUCAGCUAAUACUCAGGUUUUUUUCUACCAAUUUUUUCAAAGUGAGGUUUAGGCGCAUUUAUAUAUCCACAGUGAUAAACACUUUAUUUGAUGUAUUUGUUCUACGCAUCUUAGAUUGUGACCAGUUUACUCUAAGUUGGGUUUGGGGUCAUGCUUUUACUGUUGUUGUUACUAUUACUGUUAUCUGUUAUCAAUUUUAUUUUUAACUUUUAAGUUCAGAGAUACAUGUGCAGGAUGUGUAGGUUUGUUACAUAGCUAAAUGUGCGUCAUGGGGGUUUGUUGUACAGAUUACUUCAUCACCCAGGUAUUAAGCCUAGGAUCCAUUAGUUAUUUUUCCUGAUUCUCUUCCUCCUCCCACCCUCUGCCCUUCCAUAGGCCCCUGUGUAUGGUGUUCCCCUCUAUGUAUCCAUGUGUUCUCAUAAUUUAGCUCCCACUUAUAAGUGAGAACAUGCAGUAUUUGGUUUUCUGUUCCUGUGUUAGUUUGCUAAAAAUGGCCUGCAGCUCCAUCCAUGUCCCUGCAAAGCACAUGAUCUUGUUCUUUUUUGGCUGCAUAGUAUUCCAUGGUGUGUAUGUACCACAUUUUCUUUAGUCAGUCUAUCCUUGAUGGGCAUUUGGGUUCCAUGGCUUUGCUAUUGUGAAUAGUGCUGCAAUGAACAUAUGCAUGCAUGUGUCUUUAUAACAGAACGAUUUACAUUCCUUUGGCUAUAUACCCAGUAAUGGGAUUGCUGGGUCGAAUGGUAUUUCUGACUUUAGGUCUUUGAGGAAUUGCCACACUGUCUUCCACAAUGGCUGAACUAAUUUACACUCCCACCAACAGUGUAUAAGCAUUUCUUUUUCUCCACAACCUCACCAGCAUCUGUUAUUUUUUGUCACUUUGAUAAUAGCCAUUCUGACUGGUGUGAGUUGGUGUCUCAUUGUGGCUUUGAUUUACAUUUCUCUAAUGAUCAGUGAUGCUGAGCUUUUAAAAAAUAUGCUUGUUAUUGUCAAUUUUAUAGUAGGGAAAUUUCACUAUAACUUUUGCUGAUGUGGGGUUAUUCCGAAUUUUGCCUAUUAUCGUUCACAUUUUUGGUCAUGUAUACCUCAAAUUUUCAGUCUUUAACAAACAACAUUCCUAUGAGUAAACAUAUUCCUGUUUAAGAAGAAUGAUAUUUGAGUCAAAGUCGUAGUCACAAAGAAAUUAAUACUAAACAGUGUGACUGCCUGGAAGAUAUGCCCGACAAAAUGAAAUACUUAGGAUGUAAAAGUACAGGAGUAGACUUUUGGGUGGCUUAGUAUGGCAGUGUUAGAUGCUUGUCUUUACAGAAGGAAAUGGGAGAAAGUUCAUUGUUUUUAUCAUUUCAUCAUGCUGUGUUAAUACUUGAUAUUUAGAAAAUUGUACGUGUCCAAGAAAAACUGAAAAUAAUCUUAUUAUCCCAUGAUGUUUUUAUAUAAACCUACAGAUCUAGACUUUUACCCAUUGCUAUAUCUGUAAUAAGCAUUAUGGAAUAAUGCUGAUGUUCUUCCAUUCUUUGAUAUGCAUGAGGAUAUUUUUAAAUUUAGAUGUUUUAUAUCCAAAACAGUUCCAGACACUACCCGCAAAAAUAAUCAAGCUUCACGUGGUGAAGAGAACGAGGGAUAUGUUCCUGGGAAAAGCCCUUAGCCAGAAGGCUUAAAACCAGAUAGAAACUUUAAAAAUAGCCUUUUGUGAGGCAAAUGUAACUUGCUGAAAAUCGUCUUGCACAGUUUUGAAACUAGGAUGAACCCCCUGCCACCCAGGAGUCCAGGACCACUCUGUGGUCUGAUGCCAGGAGGAUGUACUUGCAUAUUUCAGAUGCUUCAUAUUUUGUUUUUGAUGUUCUGAGCUGGUAGAGUUGGGUGCAGCUCUUCUUGGAUUGAUAAACCAUGUUCCCAGAUGUUGAAUUCAAGAAGGAAUUUUUAACUCUUCCAUGUUUAAAAAUGAUUUCUAUGGCUGAGAGCUAAUACACUCCCUCAAAUCAAUUUGGGAAAUUUUUUUGAGAAGAAAUUGAGUCUUUUUCACAUUUGAGUAACUUUAUACACGACGCGCAACAUGCCCUGUAAAUAUAGAUAGGCCACCUACAAAGUGCACUGGGUGAUAUUUUAUACUGCAGAUGUUCUAGUUUGCACCUGAUGAAACAUGUAAAAUGCUUAUCAAAAAAAAUGAAUUAUACAGUCCCACACAACCGUUUGCUUGGUAUUUGCUAAAUUUGAUUCGGCCUUUAGAUGAUAAAAAUGAACCAGUCCACAGUAAACACUUAAUGUGAAAAGAGAUAACGGCAAACUGGAAACUUUCUUAUCCUGUCAUUUUGAUCCAUUUUUGAAAGAAAGCAUCCUGACAGCAACAAGGAAAUACCAGCUUGGAAUUCAUACCUAUUUGAUUUGGCAAAUGUGAAUAAACUAUUCUUUCAGAGGAUCCAGGAAGUGAAAACAUGGGCCAGUGACUGAAAAACCACCUUAGAGAUUAUCUGAUUAACUCUCUCAUUGUACAGAUGGGGAAACUGAUGCUCAGAGGUGUCUAAUGAGCUUCUAGGAACAAGUGAGGGUGGGGGCUGAAAGUCAAAAUAAAUACCCUGACUUAUCUUACCAUUCCAUCUCCUGCUGGUCAAAUCCAGCUGGAAACCAAAGGGCAAGGGCUCCUUUCUGGGACAUAGAAUGGGACAAAUAAUGGCAGAGAAUAGAUCCGGGAAGGCAGAGAACAAUCAACACAGUGAUUACAGAAUAAAAAGAUCCUUUAGGAAUGCAGUCAUCUGUUUAUUCAGUAAAUUUCCGUAUCUUACUAAUCACAACAGCAUCCACGUACACUUAAAAUAGUGCCUAUAUGUAUGUGUGAUACUUGUUUACAUAACAAGCUUGCUGAUGUUUGGUGCAGUGUAUGGGUUCAGGCUUCUCUGACAACAAUACCAAGACCUUCCGGGGAUCCACGGUCUUCUGCAUGGGGGAUUUCUGCAGAAGGAAAUAUAACACUCAAUGGACAAAUCCCCAGCUGGAAGAGGUCUCUGUUUAUUAGUACUGCUUUUUGAAUAUAAAAUCAACUCUAUCUUUUAGGAAGAUAGCUAAAUGUUGCUGGAAGUUGGAAUGAGAGUUUUAAUUACGAGCUAGACACUGUAUGAGACAUCUUUCCUGUGCUGCCUCAGGUCCUCUUGACUGUAAUCAACUCAGGAGUCUUGGCUCAGUCCCUGUGAAAACUGUCCUCAUGUGGACAAAUGCCACAGCUCCUAGCCUCAUGUCUGCCACCCUGGGGCUCCCUGUUGACUCUGAGGGGCAAGACUCCCAGGACCCCAUGGAUGCUCAGCCAUGUGCAACCAGGAGGGUAGGGAGGUGGCACUGCUGGGAGAUGGGAAUUAGUGAAGUUCUUUUGCUUACCCCUCUCUGAACGGACUGUCCUGAUGCUGCCUUUAUGAUGGUUCCUCAUGAUCCCAGGCUCAGUUGCACUGGACGCCAAGCAGAGGUCAGUUGGGGAACAUGCCCCAUCCUGUUUUCUCUCCCUCCUUCCCUGCCGCACUCUCCAUUGCUCUCCACCCUGAAUAAAGUAGUGGCUCUGCUUCAGGGAACCCAGGCUGAGAUAGAUACCAGGGCCUCCCUUUUGGGGGUUCUCUUUUGAGGUCCAGUUUUCAAAGGAACUGAUUGGGCAACUGCAAAAUGAGUAUGUGAAGACAUUAAGUGGACCAAUUUGUAAUUCGAUUAUUAUAAUUAUCUGGAUACCUCUUUGGCUCAAAAGGCAAAUGUUGAUCUGUUUUAAGAACAGAGAAUCAUAACGCGUAGAGCCCUAACCUGCCUUCCUAGCCUCACCUGAUGCCUUCUCAACCCUCAUCUAGGGCUUAUUCCUUUCCUUUAUGACUUGCCAGGAACAAGGGAAGAAUAGGAAAAGUCAAAAUAAAUACCCUGGCUUCUCUUGCCAUUUCAUCUCCUGCUUGCUGCUAGCUUCCUUCUGACAAGGGAGAAGUAACUGGGAUUCACUUUUCCAUUUUCCUAGCUGGAUGAUCCCUCCCUGACAAUCCAGAAUGAGAUGAUGGUGCCCGGGCAUGGGGGGAGUAUCCACGUGUGCUGAUACCUCCUCACCUACCCUUCCCCAGAGUAGAUACACAUUGCCCCCAAAGAACAUUUCACAGUUCUUUAUUUCCAGCAGUAGAUGGAAUCGGGAGAAGUGUAUUGGAAGUUUUGCUUGGGAUCCAGCUGCCUUAGUCUCCCCUACUGUGUCUUGUUACUACAUAGUGCUGGUGACCAUGGGCAACAGUGUAUGAGACAUGUCUGUAGCCUUAGGCCUGGUGCUGGCACAGCAGGUCCUCUGUUCCUGGCUAAGUAGCUUCAAAGCUGGCUCUCCUGGAGGUUCUGCGAGCUGCCUGAUGUCCUUUAAAUAUAUUUUCCCCUGGAACCAGCUAGGGUGGGUUCUAUUUGCAACAGACCAAGAGAGCACUUUUAAAAUCCUUGAAAUUUUAUGCGAAGUCCCAGGCUUUCAUUUGUAUGUCAUUUAGAUUUUUUUUUUCCCCUCUGUUUGUCCUGUUAGUGUCUCUUUGGGAUCUCCACAUCUAUCAACGGAUUGCUUGCAUUGCUUUUAAAAACUGUUGUUUACAAUGACAUUCAACACUUGUAAAAGUUAUUUGCUGCCAAGAGGAAACUAAAUGCAUUGUAAUUAAAUUUAUUUCAGGCUUUGAUUACUAAGAAGUGCAGAGAUACAUCAUUCACUUGUGCUUAAUUUAAAAAGUAUUUUGGUCAUAAUACAUAAAUUAGUUACCUUUGUAGUUUGCUUAUAACCCAUAAGACACUCAACUGGAUAAAAAGCUGCUGGCUACAAAUAAGUAACCUUGUCAUCACAUGCUAAAGGUGGCUAAUAGGUUUGUCCCUACUGCCAACUAUAAUCAACUUAUUUUUAACAUGUAUAGUCACAUUGUAAUUGAUGUCUGGAAACCUGGUUUCCUUUUUUCCUUUUUUUUUUUUUUUUUGUUAACUUUUAUUUAUAGACACAUGCAUAUAAUUUAAAAGUCAAAUAGCCCAAAAAGACUUAUAAUGAAAAACAUAUUCCCCCAAAUUCCAUCCCACUCCCCAGAGGCAAGUGUCUUCUGGCAUUUACCUUAAUUUUUCUAGACAAUGUGAAUUAUCCAGUUAGGAUAUUCCUUCUUGACUUCUUGUAAGGUAACUGGAUUGAGCACUCCUAUAUCAACCACUCCCCCAGCUUCACUUUGGCACCCUAAUCACCCCCAUGUAGUUACAACUGAACUUUUAAAUAGUUAUUGUUUACAUUAUGACUAUGGAAAAAAUAGUUCACUACAGUUCUUUCAUAUGUUAUCACAUAUAUCACUUUCUAAACAUUUCUAUAUAUCUGUAUUAGUCAGGGUUCUCCAGAGAAACAAAACCAAUAGUAUGCAUAUAUAGAAAUAGGUUCAUUAUAAGGAACAGGCUCACAUAGUUAGGGAGGCUGAGAAGUCCCAAGAUCUACAUUUGGCAAGUUGGAGACCCAGGAGAGUCGAUGUUGUGUUCCAGUCUGAAAGCCUGAAGUCUUGAGACCCAGCCAAUAAUUCAGUUCAAGUCUGAAGGCAGGAAGAGACAAAUUCCAACACAAGCAAUCAGGCAGGAGGAGUUCCCUCUUACUUGAGGGAGGGUCAGCCUUUUUGUUCUAUUCUGGCCUUAAGCUGAUUGGAUGAUGCCCACCCACCUUGAGGAGGGCCGUCUGCUUUAUUCAGUCUACUGAUUCCAAUGUUAAUCUUGUCCAGAAACACCCUCAAAGACACACAUAUUAUUACCAGAAUAAUGCUUGACCAAAUAUCUGGGCACCCUAUGACCCAGUGAAGUUGACACAUAAAAUUAAUCACUGCAAUAUCUUUCUGACAUCUAUCCAUUUUUCUGAGUACUCAAA